Brassica napus (rape) is the source of this 339-nucleotide long non-coding RNA. RefSeq lists it as uncharacterized. The record is from RefSeq and is a predicted model, not a curated record. The transcript has 2 exons. NCBI's taxonomy places the organism in Eukaryota, Viridiplantae, Streptophyta, Magnoliopsida, Brassicales, Brassicaceae.
GGAGAAAUAUAUCUCAUAUAAAAGUAAACACAAACAUAUUAUAUAAGAAAAAUGUCUUCAUCCAAGCUUCACUUUGUUGUUCUUCUGAUCAUUGUUGCACUUCUUGCUAACAAUGGACAAUCAACUCGAGUAAUGGAUGAUAAGUUUCCAGAAUGCGAAUUCAAAGGACCCUGCCAGAUGAAAAGCGAUUGUUUGGGGACAUGUGGAGGCAAACCUGAAAAUGCUUUGUGUAUACCUAAUCCUAGCGUAGACAGCCUUCAAUGUUGUUGUCUUUCAAACUAAUUUGAUUCAAAUUAUAUUAUACUACUAUUGAAAUAAGCAGUGAUGUUUUAUCAAUAA